Molecule: transfer RNA, 74 nt
Filed under: Candidatus Pacearchaeota archaeon
Lineage: Archaea; Nanobdellati
Description: tRNA-Ile
Rfam family: tRNA
About the family: Transfer RNA (tRNA) molecules are approximately 80 nucleotides in length. Their secondary structure includes four short double-helical elements and three loops (D, anti-codon, and T loops).
Source: RNAcentral
GAGCCUGUAGCUCAGCCUGGUAGAGCACUGCUCUGAUAAGGCAGGGGUCCGCGGUUCAAAUCCGCGCAGGCUCA